GACGAACGCUGGCGGCGUGCUUAACACAUGCAAGUCGAACGGAAAGGCCUGCUUUCCCUUGUGGAUUGCGGGUACUCGAGUGGCGAACGGGUGAGUAACACGUGAGUGAUCUGCCCCCAACUUGGGUAUAAGCCUGGGAAACUGGGUCUAAUUCCCGAUAGGACUGCAGGGUGGUGCCUGUUGUGGAAAACGAUUUUCUAGUGGUUGGGGAUGAGCUCGCGGCCUAUCAGCUUGUUGGUGGGGUAAUGGCCUACCAAGGCGGCGACGGGUAGCCGGCCUGGGAGGGUGGACGGCCACAUUGGGACUGAGAUACGGCCCAGACUCCUACGGGAGGCAGCAGUGGGGAAUAUUGCACAAUGGGCGGAAGCCUGAUGCAGCGACGCCGCGUGGGGGAUGACGGCCUUCGGGUUGUAAACUCCUUUCGACCGCGAGGAAGCCACCUGGUUGGAAGGGUGGUGACGGUAGUGGUAGAAGAAGCACCGGCUAACUACGUG
This 494-nucleotide ribosomal RNA is filed under the name uncultured bacterium. Its description in RNAcentral is "partial 16S ribosomal RNA". It matches the Rfam family "Bacterial small subunit ribosomal RNA", at positions 28 to 507 of the family's 1533-position model. The record is from RNAcentral.